CUGGAAACAGAGAAGUGCCUCGCAAGAGGGAAUUCGGUGGACAGGGUGCUGCAUUGGCUGUCGUCAGCUCGUGUCGUGAGAUGUUGGGUUAAGUCCCGCAACGAGCGCAACCCUUGUCUUUAGUUGCCAUCAUUAAGUUGGGCACUCUAAAGAGACUGCCGGUGUCAAACCGGGAGGAAGGUGGGGAUGACGUCAAGUCCUCAUGGCCUUUAUGACCAGGGCUACACACGCACUACAAUGGCAGGUACAAAGGGCAGCCACUUAGCGAUAAGGCGCGAAUCCCGUAAAACCUGUCUCAGUCCGGAUUGAAGUCUGCAACUCGACUUCAUGAAGGCGGAAUCGCUAGUAACCGCGAAUCAGCAGGUCGCGGUGAAUACGUUCCCGGGCCUU
Molecule: ribosomal RNA, 390 nt
Filed under: uncultured Desulfocapsa sp.
Lineage: Bacteria; Pseudomonadati; Thermodesulfobacteriota; Desulfobulbia; Desulfobulbales; Desulfocapsaceae
Description: bacterial SSU rRNA
Rfam family: Bacterial small subunit ribosomal RNA
Source: RNAcentral